GCGGAGGGAUCAUUACAGAGUUGAAAAACUCCCAAAACCACUGUGAACCAUACCUGUCCGCGUUGCUUCGGCGGGCAGCUCCGGGGAGGAGCUGCAGCCCCCCUCCGGGGGGGCGCCCGCCGGAAGCCCUUAUAAACUAUUCUGUAAACUACCUGAAACUCUGAGUCUCUAGCAUGUAAAUGCGAUAUAAAACUUUCAACAACGGAUCUCUUGGCUCUAGCAUCGAUGAAGAACGCAGCGAAAUGCGAUAAGUAAUGCGAAUUGCAGAAUUCAGUGAAUCAUCGAAUCUUUGAACGCACAUUGCGCCCGCCAGCACUCUGGCGGGCAUGCCUGUUCGAGCGUCAUUUCAACCCUCAAGCACUGCUUGGUGUUGGGGCGCCACGGGGCCUCGGCGCCGUGGGCCCUGAAAGUCAGUGGCGGACCUGCUGUGUGUCCGGGCGUAGUAGCAAUAUGUCGCCCGUGGGUGCCCAGCAGGCUCCGGCCGUAAAAAAAAAAAAGAAAGAGCAAUCUCACCAGAACGUUGACCUCGGAUCAGGUAGGAAUACCCGCUGAACUUAAGNNNNNNAAUAAGCGGAGGAAAAGAAACCAACAGGGAUUGCCCCAGUAACGGCGAGUGAAGCGGCAAUAGCUCGAAUUUGAAAUCUGGCUUCGGCCCGAGUUGUAAUCUGUAGAGGACGCUUUUGGCGCGGUGCCUUCCGAGUUCCCUGGAACGGGACGCCACAGAGGGUGAGAGCCCCGUAUGGUCGGAUACCAAGCCUCUGUAAAGCUCCUUCGACGAGUCGAGUAGCUUGGGAAUGCUGCUCUAAGUGGGAGGUAAACUUCUUCUAAAGCUAAAUACCGGCUAGAGACCGAUAGCGCACAAGUAGAGUGAUCGAAAGAUGAAAAGCACUUUGAAAAGAGGGUUAAACAGUACGUGAAAUUGUUGAAAGGGAAGCGCUUGUGACCAGACUUGCGCCGGGCUGAUCAUCCAGCGGUCUCCGCUGGUGCACUCGGCCCGGCUCAGGCCAGCGUCGGUUGCCGCGGGGGGAUAAAAGCCUAGGGAAUGUAGCUCCCCCCGGGGAGUGUUAUAGCCCUCCGCAGAAUAUCCCCGCGGCGACCGAGGUCCGCGCCCUGCAAGGACGCUGGCGUAAUGGUCAUCAGCGACCCGUCUUGAA
This 1154-nucleotide unclassified non-coding RNA is filed under the name Cryptendoxyla sp. 2 VH-2016. Its description in RNAcentral is "sequence contains ITS1, 5.8S rRNA gene, ITS2 and 28S rRNA gene". The stretch from base 522 to 1154 matches the Rfam family "Eukaryotic large subunit ribosomal RNA", at positions 1 to 658 of the family's 3401-position model. Lineage: Eukaryota; Fungi; Ascomycota; Sordariomycetes; Cephalothecales; Cephalothecaceae. The record is from RNAcentral.